AUUCUGAAGCCAGUCCGCAGACAGCACCCAGCACAGCAACACUCUUGAUAACUGAGCUUGGCAGCACCUAUGCCCCACGGCACCUGAAUGGGGACAGCUUGACAAGUGCCGGGUGCUUUUUGGAUCCAGGAAACAGAGGGAGCCUCUGGCCUCCAGGUUCAGAGCAUGGCAAGAGGUCUGAGUCUCGAUUCAGUCUUCAGUUAGCACUCGUACUGCGCCUGCGUGGGAGCGGAUGGCACCGGAGAGACCUCUGUGGAGAACGGACCGAUGAGGCAGCGGUGACAGGAGCAACGUGGGCUGCAGUCCAGGAGUCUCUGACUUAUGAAGGAGCCGCGAGAGGACCAUGAGAGGAUGUACCCGAUCUACGGAAAUGCCAUCUACAGGGAACUGCAGGCCAGGUCAAGGUGAUGAACGUCCUUAAAUUGUUAAUAAAUCAAUAAUCAUUUUUAUUAUGA
This 455-nucleotide long non-coding RNA is filed under the name Fukomys damarensis (Damara mole-rat). RNAcentral describes it as "lncRNA (ENSFDAG00000029409.1)". The record is from RNAcentral. Lineage: Eukaryota; Metazoa; Chordata; Mammalia; Rodentia; Bathyergidae.